RNAcentral lists this ribosomal RNA (468 nucleotides) under uncultured bacterium. Its description in RNAcentral is "partial 16S ribosomal RNA". It matches the Rfam family "Bacterial small subunit ribosomal RNA", at positions 28 to 507 of the family's 1533-position model. The record is from RNAcentral.
GACGAACGCUGGCGGCGUGCUUAACACAUGCAAGUCGAACGGAAAGGCCCUGCUUUUGUGGGGUGCUCGAGUGGCGAACGGGUGAGUAACACGUGAGUAACCUGCCCUUGACUUUGGGAUAACUUCAGGAAACUGGGGCUAAUACCGGAUAGGAGCUCCUGCUGCAUGGUGGGGGUUGGAAAGUUUCGGCGGUUGGGGAUGGACGCGCGGCUUAUCAGCUUGUUGGUGGGGUAGUGGCUGACCAAGGCUUUGACGGGUAGCCGGCCUGAGAGGGUGACCGGCCACAUUGGGCCUGAGAUACGGCCCAGACUCCUACGGGAGGCAGCGGUGGGGAGUAUUGCCCAAUGGGCGGAAGCCUGAUGCAGCAACGCCGCGUGCGGGAUGACGGCCUUCGGGUUGUAAACCGCUUUCGCCUGUGACGAAGCGUGAGUGACGGUAAUGGGUAAAGAAGCACCGGCUAACUACGUG